This is a long non-coding RNA of Lycium barbarum (goji berry), 969 nucleotides long. RefSeq lists it as uncharacterized. The transcript has 4 exons. Lineage: Eukaryota; Viridiplantae; Streptophyta; Magnoliopsida; Solanales; Solanaceae. The record is from RefSeq and is a predicted model, not a curated record.
UUGAAAUUUUCCUUGAACAUUUUUUCCUUUUUUCAUAUAAUCAAUCACAAUAUGAAAAUCGUAUUAAUGCAUGUUAAUUGCUUGAUUGAAUUCAGCCUUUUCUGUUGAAAAUUGAUACCAAAAGCAUUUUCCUUUUUCGGAAUUCUCACUCUUUUUUGUUGCUCCCUUCUGUUCACUUUUACUUAAUUAAUUUUCGGAGCUAAAUUCAAUUAUAUAAUCUGAUAUUUUAAGACUAAAAUUUAGAUGUUUGGAAACUAAAAUUUUCCUUGAUUUUUUUUUUUCUCUUUUCACAAUAUGAAAUCGUAAUAAUGCAUGUUAAUGGCGUGAUUCAAUUCAGCCUUCAUUUCAAUUGAUAUCACAAGCUUUUCCAUUUUUCGGAAUUCUCACUCUUUUUUGUUAUUCUCAAAAGUGAAACGCGAAAUUCACCUUUUUAUUCUUUUACAUUCUUUUGAUACUAACGUAACUUGUUAAUUGUUAUCUUUGUUGAUUUUAAUUUCUUUUCCGUUUUGCUUGUUUUUGGAACUUUUGCAGAUCUCAGUAUAAUCAUAUGUUAUCGCGAUCAUAGCAAUACGUAGAACUAGAAGCCAUCGCUUCGUUUUUCAGGUGGAGGUUGAAAGUCAGCAUGGCUGGGAACAUGAAUUUAGUAUCUCCUUGCUGAGGCUUUUGCAAUGCAUACUGAUGCAGCGUCUAGUAUUAGGUUCCAAGUUCGAGUUGGGUCCGCAGAGCCAUUUGAGUUUGAUACUGUGAUUUCAGGAGAUCGUGGAUGGCGAUGAGAUCUGGAGUUUGAUUCUUAGAGAUAAGGACUAAGAAUGGUUACUGCUAGCAAACUUUAUACAUUGCCAAUAUUUUUACAAUAGGAGACACAAUGUAUUAAUUUAAUCUUGGACUUCUUAUCUUUCUCAGUACAUGAACGAAAUUAUACAUGCAUCCUCAUUGAUUUCUUAAUACAUGAACUAAGUAGUUAACUCA